This 1613-nucleotide long non-coding RNA is filed under the name Sus scrofa (pig). RNAcentral describes it as "lncRNA (ENSSSCG00025015626.1)". Lineage: Eukaryota; Metazoa; Chordata; Mammalia; Artiodactyla; Suidae. The record is from RNAcentral.
GAGUGUCUUGCUCCGCCUUCAGCUGAGGUGUGGGCGCAGCCCUUUUCCACGAGGAGCUCUGGUGAACAAGUGCGAGUCCUUUACAUGUGGUGCUCUGCAAGCAAGUGAAAAUAGACUAAGCUCAAAGGAAAGAAAAGCGCUUGAUGACAAUUUUACCAAAAUGCUACCAUGUCCAUUGAUCACCUUUGAGAUUAAAAGAAAUAUUGUGAGGAAGACUGGUGUAUGAUCAGUCAGAUUAAUGAUUACUUAAGGUGAAAUGGAAGCUAAAAAAGAUUCAACAUCAGUCAUCUAUGGAAAAUGAAUAGGUGAUCUUCUAGGUAUGUUCCAAGCUUUAGUAAUUCAUGACCUAAGGAAUAACUGUAGUCAUGAAGUUAAGAUGUAAAUGUUUAAUUACAAUAAUUAUCAACAAUGUUUCUGUACACUAUAGUAGAGAAGCUAGAGAAAAGUGUAUGUGAGUGUAAAACACUUAAAGUUGAUAUACAAGAGAAAUGUUUUAUUAGUUUAUUGGAAGAUAUUUCAUUUUUCUCAUACAAAAGUAUUACCUAGUGAUAUCUAAUGACUUUCCAUGUUUUGUUGUUAUUAUCAUUUUGACCUCUUGUGUUUCAUAAUAUGUUUGCAAACAAUUACAUCCAUCUAGGGGAAAUUGUUUAGAGACCUAACAGCCUUCUAUGAGUCAAAAUCAUUUGUGCAUAGAACAAGUAAAAAUCAUUUAACAUAUAGGAAUAUAACAUGUAUAGCUGGUAAAUCUGAAAUUGCUAAUGUAGAUUGCCACUCCAGUCAAUAUAUAUCAAACAUUUCUAUCAAAUGUACCAUCUAUCAUGUAUGUGCAUUGCUUUUGUAGUUUUUAUUUCCCUUUUUAUUGUAGAAAGUAUAUAUUACUGUGACUAAAAACUACUCUUUGGGGAAUACAGUGGUUUCCAGGUCAGUGGAAAUGUGGAUUUAAAUAUUAAAAAGUGGAGUAGUUUAACCCUAGUUUGACCUUUAUCACCUCUCAGGUGAAUUGGGUGUAUUUGAAAGAAUGUAUCUGAAAAACAACAGAGUAGCGAAAAAAAUUACAUCUGUGUAACCCUGUGGUCAAUCCAAUAACAGUAUUUUUAAUGAAUAAGUUCAAAACAGUAUACAUGUGUGUAUGUCCACUGUGUCUCUUUGUUUGUGCAUAUUUGUAUUUAUGUACUUAUGUAUUUUCAAUGCAUUGUCUGUCUUGUGAAUAUUUCAGUCUUUCAAGACAUCAUUUGCUUUUUCUACCAAAGUAUCAAUCUCCAUUUAUAUUACUCUAGCAAGUAAACUUCAAGCUUCAAAUAAGUUAAGAAAUACUGCCAUGAAAGCUGGAAAGAAGGAGUCUAAAGACCAACUUAUUGGAAUUCCUGCUAUGGCUCAGUGGGUUAAGAACCUAACUAGCAUCCAUGAGGAUGUGGGGUUCAUUCCUUGGCCUUGCUCAGUGGAUUAAGGAUCCGGUGUUGCUGUGAGCUCUGGUGUAGGUUGCAGACACGGCUCGGAUCCUAUGUUGCUGUGGCUGUGGUAUAGGGCCACAGCUGCAGCUCCAAUUCUACUCCUGGCCUGGGAACUUCCUUAUGCCAUGGAUGUGGCCCUAAAAAAGCAAAAAAAAAAAAAAA